GAUGAACGCUCGCGAUAGGCUUAACACAUGCAAGUCGAGGGGCAGCACAAGGUAGCUUGCUAUCUGGGUGGCGACCGGCGCACGGGUGCGUAACGCGUAUGCAACUUGCCCUAUACAGGAGGAUAACCCGUCGAAAGACGGACUAAUACUGCGUAUGCUCACAACUUGGCAUCAAGUGGUGAGGAAAGAAAUUCGGUAUAGGAUAGGCAUGCGUCCCAUUAGCUUGUUGGUGAGGUAACGGCUCACCAAGGCAACGAUGGGUAGGGGAACUGAGAGGUUUAUCCCCCAAACUGGUACUGAGACACGGACCAGACUCCUACGGGAGGCAGCAGUGAGGAAUAUUGGUCAAUGGGAGCGAGCCUGAACCAGCCAAGUCGCGUGAAGGAUGACUGUCUUAUGGAUGGUAACCUUCUUUUAUACGGGAAUAACAAGAGUCACGUGUGACUCCCUGAAUGUACCGUAUGAAUAAGCAUCGGCUAACUCCGUG
RNAcentral lists this ribosomal RNA (487 nucleotides) under uncultured bacterium. RNAcentral's name for it is "partial 16S ribosomal RNA". It matches the Rfam family "Bacterial small subunit ribosomal RNA", at positions 28 to 507 of the family's 1533-position model. The record is from RNAcentral.